CAGCAGCCGCGGGAAUACGUAGGUGGCAAGCGUUGUCCGGAAUUAUUGGGCGUAAAGGGCUCGCAGGCGGUUUCUUAAGUCUGAUGUGAAAGCCCCCGGCUCAACCGGGGAGGGUCAUUGGAAACUGGGAAACUUGAGUGCAGAAGAGGAGAGUGGAAUUCCACGUGUAGCGGUGAAAUGCGUAGAGAUGUGGAGGAACACCAGUGGCGAAGGCGACUCUCUGGUCUGUAACUGACGCUGAGGAGCGAAAGCGUGGGGAGCGAACAGGAUUAGAUACCCCCGUAGUCCAUGUCUCUUAUAC
This 301-nucleotide ribosomal RNA is filed under the name uncultured bacterium. RNAcentral's name for it is "partial 16S ribosomal RNA". It matches the Rfam family "Bacterial small subunit ribosomal RNA", at positions 509 to 807 of the family's 1533-position model. The record is from RNAcentral.